UACGUAGGGUGCAAGCGUUAUCCGGAAUCACUGGGCGUAAAGCGUGCGUAGGUGGCGUAUUAAGUGAGAUGUUAAAUCGUGUGGCUCAACCAUAUCGAUGCAUCUCAUACUGGUGUGCUAGAGGACGGCAGAGGCAAGUGGAAUUGGUAGUGUAGCAGUGAAAUGCGUAGAUAUUACCAGGAACACCAAUGGCGAAGGCAGCUUGCUGGGCCACUCUUGACACUGAGGUACGAAAGCGUGGGGAGCGAACAGG
This 253-nucleotide ribosomal RNA is filed under the name uncultured bacterium. RNAcentral's name for it is "partial 16S ribosomal RNA". It matches the Rfam family "Bacterial small subunit ribosomal RNA", at positions 524 to 776 of the family's 1533-position model. The record is from RNAcentral.